RNAcentral lists this ribosomal RNA (487 nucleotides) under uncultured bacterium. RNAcentral describes it as "partial 16S ribosomal RNA". It matches the Rfam family "Bacterial small subunit ribosomal RNA", at positions 30 to 507 of the family's 1533-position model. The record is from RNAcentral.
AUUGAACGCUGGCGGCAUGCCUUACACAUGCAAGUCGAACGGCAGCACGGGUGCUUGCACCUGGUGGCGAGUGGCGAACGGGUGAGUAAUACAUCGGAACAUGUCCUGUAGUGGGGGAUAGCCCGGCGAAAGCCGGAUUAAUACCGCAUACGAUCUACGGAUGAAAGCGGGGGACCUUCGGGCCUCGCGCUAUCGGGUUGGCCGAUGGCUGAUUAGCUAGUUGGUGGGGUAAAGGCCUACCAAGGCGACGAUCAGUAACGGGUCUGAGAGGACGACCAGCCAAACUGGGACUGGGACACGGCCCAGACUCCUACGGGAGGCAGCAGUGGGGAAUUUUGGACAAUGGGCGAAAGCCUGAUCCAGCAAUGCCGCGUGUGUGAAGAAGGCCUUCGGGUUGUAAAGCACUUUUGUCCGGAAAGAAAUCCUUGGCCCUAAUACGGUCGGGGGGAUGACGGUACCGGAAGAAUAAGCACCGGCUAACUACGUG